AUUGAACGCUGGCGGCAGGCCUAACACAUGCAAGUCGAGCGGACGAAGUGAGCUAGUGCCUGUAUUCAGCGGCCGACGGGUGAGUAAUGCCUAGGAAUCUGCCUGGAAGUCGGGGAUAACAUCCGUCAACGGGGCCUAAUACCGCAGACGAUCAGAGUUCGAAAGGGGGGGAUAUUCGAACAUAACCCUAUCAGAUGAGCCUUAGUCGCAGUACCUAGUUGGUGUGGUAAAGGCCUACCAAGGCGACGAUCCGUAACUGGUCUGAGAGGAUGAUCAGUCACCUUGGAACUGGGACACGCUCCAGACUACUACGGGACGCAGCAGUCGGGAAUUUUGGACAGUGGGCGAAAGUCUGAUACAGCCCUGCCGAGUGUGUGAAGAAGGUCUUCGGAUUGUAAAGCACUCUCAGUUGGGAGGAAGGGCGGUAAGUUAAUAUCUUCCCGUUUUGACGUUACCAAGACAAUAAGCACCGGCUAACUUCGUG
Molecule: ribosomal RNA, 484 nt
Filed under: uncultured bacterium
Lineage: Bacteria
Description: partial 16S ribosomal RNA
Rfam family: Bacterial small subunit ribosomal RNA
Source: RNAcentral